This 21-nucleotide transfer RNA is filed under the name Inchoatia megdova tavropodensis. RNAcentral describes it as "partial tRNA-Met". Lineage: Eukaryota; Metazoa; Mollusca; Gastropoda; Stylommatophora; Clausiliidae. The record is from RNAcentral.
AAUGGAAUUCUCCUCCUAAGA